RNAcentral lists this ribosomal RNA (459 nucleotides) under uncultured bacterium. RNAcentral's name for it is "partial 16S ribosomal RNA". It matches the Rfam family "Bacterial small subunit ribosomal RNA", at positions 338 to 795 of the family's 1533-position model. The record is from RNAcentral.
CCUACGGGUGGCAGCAGUGAGGAAUAUUGGUCAAUGGUCGUAAGCCUGAACCAGCCAAGUAGCGUGCAGGAUGACGGCCCUAUGGGUUGUAAACUGCUUUUAUGCGGGGACAAAAUGCGCCACAUGUGACGUUCCGUAGGUACCGCAUGAAUAAGCAUCGGCUAACUCCGUGCCAGCAGCCGCGGUAAUACGGAAGAUCCGAGCGUUAUCCGGAUUUAUUGGGUUUAAAGGGUGCGUAGGCGGCAGGUAAAGUGGGCGGUAAAAUUGAGAGGAGCAACCUCUGCGAGCCGGGGCUAAUGGUUUUCUUGAGUGAGUGAGAAGUAUGCGGAAUGAGUGGUGUAGCGGUGAAAUGCAUAGAUAUCACGCAGAACUCCGAUGGCGAAGGCAGCAUAACGGCGCUCAACGGACGCUCAGGCACGAAAGGGUGGGUAUAGAACAGGAUUAGAUACCCGUGUAGUC